CCCUUAGAUGUCCUGGGCUGCACGCGCGCUACACUGAUGUGUCCAGUAAGCACCUAACCUCUUCCGAAAGGAACGGGUAACCUUUGCAAAGCACAUCGUGAUGGGGAUAGAUUAUUGCAAUUAUUAGUCUUGAACGAGGAAUUCCUAGUAAGCACAAGUCAUCAGCUUGUGUUGAUUACGUCCCUGCCCUUUGUACACACCGUCCGUCGCUCCUACCGAUUGAAUGGUCCGGUGAAAAUUAGGGACCGUGGCAAUGCCUACUGGGUCACCGGAAGCGCUGCCGUGGGAACUCAUUUAAACCUUAUCAUUUAGAGGAAGGAGAAGUCGUAACA
This 332-nucleotide ribosomal RNA is filed under the name uncultured eukaryote. Its description in RNAcentral is "partial 18S ribosomal RNA". It matches the Rfam family "Eukaryotic small subunit ribosomal RNA", at positions 1470 to 1796 of the family's 1831-position model. The record is from RNAcentral.